This 629-nucleotide ribosomal RNA is filed under the name uncultured bacterium. RNAcentral's name for it is "bacterial SSU rRNA". It matches the Rfam family "Bacterial small subunit ribosomal RNA", at positions 771 to 1400 of the family's 1533-position model. The record is from RNAcentral.
AACAGGAUUAGAUACCCUGGUAGUCACGCCGUAAACGAUGUCUACUUGAAGGUUGUGGCCUUGAGCCGUGGCUUUCGGAGCUAACGCGUUAAGUAGACCGCCUGGGGAGUACGGUCGCAAGAUUAAAACUCAAAUGAAUUGACGGGGGCCCGCACAAGCGGUGGAGCAUGUGGUUUAAUUCGAUGCAACGCGAAGAACCUUACCUACUCUUGACAUCCACAGAAGAGACCAGAGAUGGACUUGUGCCUUCGGGAACUGUGAGACAGGUGCUGCAUGGCUGUCGUCAGCUCGUGUUGUGAAAUGUUGGGUUAAGUCCCGCAACGAGCGCAACCCUUAUCCUUGUUUGCCAGCACGUAAUGGUGGGAACUCCAGGGAGACUGCCGGUGAUAAACCGGAGGAAGGUGGGGACGACGUCAAGUCAUCAUGGCCCUUACGAGUAGGGCUACACACGUGCUACAAUGGCGUAUACAGAGGGCUGCCAACCAGCGAUGGUGAGCGAAUCCCACAAAGUACGUCGUAGUCCGGAUCGGAGUCUGCAACUCGACUCCGUGAAGUCGGAAUCGCUAGUAAUCGUGAAUCAGAAUGUCACGGUGAAUACGUUCCCGGGCCUUGUACACACCGCCCGUCAC